RNAcentral lists this ribosomal RNA (846 nucleotides) under Ixonotus guttatus. Its description in RNAcentral is "partial 12S ribosomal RNA". It matches the Rfam family "Bacterial small subunit ribosomal RNA", at positions 173 to 1415 of the family's 1533-position model. Lineage: Eukaryota; Metazoa; Chordata; Aves; Passeriformes; Pycnonotidae. The record is from RNAcentral.
GCAAGUAUCCGCGUUCCAGUGAGUAUGCCCUAGGUACCCUAGCCCACUAGGUCGAUAGGAGCGGGCAUCAGGCACACCCCCCCCCCCCCGUAGCCCAAGACGCCUAGCUAUUGCCACACCCCCACGGGUCAUCAGCAGUAGUUAACAUUAAGCCAUGAGUGAAAACUUGACUUAGCCAUAGCAAUUUAGGGACGGUAAAUCCUGUGCCAGCCACCGCGGUCAGACAGGAGGCCCAAAUCAACAUUAUAACGGCGUAAAGCGUGGUACCAUGAUAUCCAAGUAACUAAGAUUAAAAAGCAGCUGAGUUGUCACAAGCCCAAGAUGCCCAUUAAGGCCACUAUUCAAAGAAAAUCUUAGACUAACGAUCAAUUGAAAUCCACUAAAGCCAGGGCCCAAACUGGGAUUAGAUACCCCACUAUGCCUGGCCCUAAAUCAUGAUGCUUAAUCUUACCGAAGCAUCCGCCCGAGAACUACGAGCAUCAACGCUUAAAACUCUAAGGACCUGGAGGUGCCCCAAACCCACCUAGAGGAGCCUGUUAUGUAAUCGAUGAUCCACGAUAUACCCGACCAUUCCUUGCCAGUAUCAGCCUAUAUACCGCCGUCUCCAGCCCACCCACCAUGAAGGACCAACAGUGGACGCAAUAGCCUAACCCGCUAGUAAGACAGGUCAAGGUAUAGCCUAUGGGAUGGAAGCAAUGGGCUACAUUUCCUAAACUAGGACAUCACGGCAAAGGGACGUGAAACCGUCCCUGGAAGGAGGAUUUAGCAGUAAAGUAGGACAAUCGAGCCUUCUUUAAGCCGGCUCUGGGGCACGUACACACCGCCCGUCGCCCUCCUCAAAAGCGA